RNAcentral lists this non-coding RNA (217 nucleotides) under Streptomyces sp. RNAcentral also lists the same sequence under 1 other name. Lineage: Bacteria; Bacillati; Actinomycetota; Actinomycetes; Kitasatosporales; Streptomycetaceae. The record is from RNAcentral.
AGGCUGGCCGGUGCAGCUGGUUCGCCCUGUCCGCCAGACAGACGCGUCGCAAGAGGGAACCCGGUGUGAAUCCGGGACUGCCCCGCAGCGGUAAGUGGGAACGACCGCCGUCAUACGCACUGGAUCCGUUCGGAUCCGGGAAGCGACGGCCAGUAGGAGUCUGCCCCCGGCAGACGUGCCCACGAGUCCGAAGACCUGCCCGUUGCCCGCACCCGAA